UAUGUUUUUGCAUACGUGUAC
RNAcentral lists this non-coding RNA (21 nucleotides) under Caenorhabditis elegans. The record is from RNAcentral. Lineage: Eukaryota; Metazoa; Nematoda; Chromadorea; Rhabditida; Rhabditidae.